GCCUUCUUAGCUCAACGGGAGAGCGCUCGAAGUCCUAAUCGAGAGAUCCGUGUUCAACUCGCGAAGGGGGCA
Non-coding RNA from Polyrhizophydium stewartii, 72 nucleotides. The record is from the annotation of a GenBank genome assembly. Lineage: Eukaryota; Fungi; Chytridiomycota; Chytridiomycetes; Rhizophydiales.